GGCUCAGGAUGAACGCUGGCGGCGUGCCUAAUACAUGCAAGUCGAACGGGGGCAGUAGCGAUACUGUCCUAGUGGCGAACGGGUGAGUAACGCGUUGGUGACCUGCCCCAGAGAGGGGGAUAACAGACCGAAAGGUCUGCUAAUACCGCAUAAAUUCUCAGCAGUUAGAGGGGUUGAGAAGAAAGCCGAAAGGCGCUUCUGGGAGGGGCCUGCGUCCCAUCAGCUAGUUGGUAGGGUAACGGCCUACCAAGGCGAAGACGGGUAGGGGACCUGAGAGGGUGGCCCCCCACAAUGGAACUGAAACACGGUCCAUACACCUACGGGUGGCAGCAGUAGGGGAUAUUGGUAAAUGGGCGAAAGCCUGACCCAGCAACGCCGCGUGCGCGAAGAAGGCCUUCGGGUUGUAAAGCGCUUUUCUGAGGGAUGAGGAAGGACAGUACCUGAGGAAUAAGUCUCGGCUAACUACGUGCCAGCAGCCGCGGUAAGACGUAGGAGACGAGCGUUAUCCGGAUUUACUGGGCGUAAAGCGCGUGCAGGCGGCUCGUUAAGUUGGAUGUGAAAGCCCCUGGCUAAACUAGGGGAGGUCGUUCAAGACUGGCGGGCUAGAGUGCAGCAGAGGAGAGUGGAAUUCCGAGUGUAGCGGUAAAAUGCACAGAUAUUCGGAAGAACACCAGAGGCGAAGGCGGCUCUCUGGGCUGCAACUGACGCUCAGACGCGAAAGCUAGGGGAGCGAACGGGAUUAGAGACCCCGGUAGUCCUAGCCGUAAACGAUGUGGACUUGGCGUGGGGAGGGUAAAGCCUGUCCGUGCCGAAGCAAACGCGAUAAGUCCACCGCCUGGGGACUACGGCCGCAAGGUUAAAACUCAAAGGAAUUGACG
Molecule: ribosomal RNA, 878 nt
Filed under: uncultured bacterium
Lineage: Bacteria
Description: bacterial SSU rRNA
Rfam family: Bacterial small subunit ribosomal RNA
Source: RNAcentral